UGAAGAUUGAGAAACAGAGGCAAUCCGAGUUUUUAACAGCCUUGAACCUCAGAGGUACAACACGAAAACAGGGGAGGGACAGAUUCUGUAACCUAAAACGUGUAUAUAUAAGAUUAGUUUAGCCAAAACAGCGAAACAGUACUACUGAAUUCAACUGUAAAAUCCCCUUUUCCUGGUAGAUUAGUAAUAUGUGCAGUACUGCUGUAUAACCUAUAGGGGUCCCUAGUGUACCCAGUCUAAUUUGUGGAAUUUUUAACUGAAUGGUCGCAUGGACUUAGGGAUUCCUACAAGUACAAUAUAGCAUUUGGCAGAAAUCUAAACGAACGACUCCCAAGGAGGAACAAAGUAAUGUAUAACUGCCGAACAUUCCAGCGAAAGAACAAUUAAAGCAUACAUGCUGCAUGAAACGUGAGUAUUGUUCGAGCGUGCGAAACGAAACUGUCGAACAGGUAAGUAUAAUCCCACGAACAAGUAUAUGAACUGAUAGACAAUAGUGGCAAACUACCGAACCACCGUUCAUAUGAAGUUGUAAACGAAAGUUUGCACAAAAGUAUACGAACAGAGGGUAAGUAUAUGAAAUAGAGUUGACCUGUGAUGACUGUAGUGGAGUAGCAGGGGUUAAUCCAAGAGCUCUCCACUGCGAACAAAGUUUCAGCAUACAAGAAUACAGGAACACAGCAUAAUCCCCCUCCCCAAGGACUAGACGACACAUAGUCUGGGAGUCAACUGAGGUCUUUAUUCACAAAUCUGCUUUUAUGCAUUUGUCCCAUGCAAGGGAGGCAACUUUCACAAUUAUUACAGUAUCCAAUCACAUAAUCGGUACCUCCCCCACAUCUCCUCCCCUUAGCUUAAGUUAAACUUAUUAAAAUGUACAUACUUUUACCCAAUUCUUUGAUGUACCACAAAUACAGGGGGUACACCUUUAAAUGAGUGAUCCCCUGGUAGCCCUGAUCCGGGUGAGAAACAUACUCAAAAAUCACCCAGAUCGGACCAGGGGUUCGGGAGUUAUUGAAGGGAAAAGAUUUGACCGACCGCACGGGCAGAGUAGCUGAAAAUAGCUCCAUGAGUUUUGGCCCUGCGGUCGGUCUCAGUUCCCUUGUAAAAAGUCACGAAAGUCUUUGCCAUCCAUGCUUGAAUUUACAUUCGAAUGAAUCCCCUUGUUCGCGGGAUUCAUCCUACCGAAUGCUGAGCUGUUCGUGCGUUUGAUUCUUCCCUUUCCGGAGUGCUGGAGGUCUUAGCGGUGCUUGCUUAGUCGAGUGUCCGAUUUGAGUUCCAGACACUCGACGACCAAACACCGCUGUUCGUGCGUAAGAUGGCCGCCGCCACGUGUUCGACAGGCCAGGCGAAUGGCGGCCACACACGAACCUCAAUUACCAGCUUUUGCAACAUUGUUGCCUUCGGUAAUAAGUGACACACGACU
Non-coding RNA from Pelobates cultripes (western spadefoot toad), 1420 nucleotides. Lineage: Eukaryota; Metazoa; Chordata; Amphibia; Anura; Pelobatidae. The record is from the annotation of a GenBank genome assembly.